UCUCUGUUGUGCAAACAGGGCUCAUGUCCUGGCAUACAGCAGAGAGCACAGGCAGCUGAUCAGGCACCCUCGCCUCCUGCAGCAGAAGUGGUGGAAAGAAGCAUCGAUGUGCAAACGAUUCCCACUCUGCCCGCUCCACCUGCUCCAGAGAGAAGCUCUUUGCACAGUCUGCAGUGGUCAUUUUAAUCAUUCAGGAUCCGGGACUUCGAAAUGGCUUCAUCAUAGAAUGACAAGGAUCAAGUUGCUUCAACGAAGAAGGUUUUAUUCAGUUUAAAAAAAGGCAGUCGUUAUCUCGACUGGCCAGAAUGUAUGAAUUUCUGACUCGUGAAAUCACUGCUCUGCUAAAUGGAGGAGGAACAAAACCUGUCUCCUUUUUCCAAAAGAUGAGUUUUUCUGCC
Molecule: long non-coding RNA, 398 nt
Organism: Varanus komodoensis (Komodo dragon)
Lineage: Eukaryota; Metazoa; Chordata; Lepidosauria; Squamata; Varanidae
Exons: 2
Source: RefSeq, a predicted model, not a curated record